UUUUGCAUUCACUCCUAGACAAGAUCAACCUCUCAAGAAACAUUAAGACUCGUCUGAUGUGAUCAUGGAAAGAGUCCAAAUGGCCAGUCAACAAAUAGAAAAAUAUCUGGUGAUUCUCCUUAUAGCAUCAGGUGUUAUCUGUCAAGACCGGAUUGGACCCAGUGGCGAGAGGACCAGUGUUAUCAGUACAGAAGGAGAUUCUGUGACACUCGAGUGUUCAUACGAUUCAAGCAGCAGCUAUGUUCUCCUUUACUGGUACAGACAGUUUACUAACACACAGCCUCAAUUUGUGCUGGCGAAAGGCGGACGAUCAGAGAGAUAUAAGAUCAUACCAGACCCUCGAUUUGAAUCAACUUCAUCCCAGACAUCCACCUCACUGACUAUUAAAAGUAUAACUUUAUCAGAUUCAGCUCUCUAUUACUGUGCUCUGAUUAAUAGUAUCAGGCUGCCCAGUGUUACAAAGUGCCUGAGAGGCUUUACAAAAACUCACUCGAAAAACUUGAAUUGAACAGUAAGUUAUCACAUAAUUAUCAAACCACAUUUGUGUCUUUAUAAACCACAAAGCCAAACUGCAGGAUAUGGUAACACCUGCUGGAAAUAAAGAGUUGCAUGUGGCCUACAGUAAACACGAGCUGAAAAGUUCAAAUCAGGACAUUUUAGUGAUUAAUUCGUAAGCUUUAUAUAUUAUCAGCAUGGUUGGUUCUGAAUAUAAACAACAUGUAAAUAUUGAGUAACUUACACUUUAGAAACACAGCCAAUUGUUUUUGCUUCUUCAAUGCAAAUGAAGCCACAAAAGACUCGCAGUCCAAGCAAACAAACUGUUUUGAACAAAUCGUUUGAGUGAAUGAUUCAGUGAAUCACUCAUUAACAGUUGCUCGUUUUGUUCAUGAAUGCAUCAGAUUUGUUGAACGAAAUAAUAGAACGGAUGAUUGAUUUGAUGAAGACUGAAAGAAUCACAGUUCUGGUAAUGACUCACUAAAAGAAAUUCCAGUCACUCGUCUCCACCUACUGGUUCUGAGUUUGGAUAAUGGAACUGCAUCAAUACUGCAUUGUUGUUGCAUACUUCAAGAUGGGAUGAGCCAAUCAAACACUAACAGUAAAACACUUGCAUUUAUAAAAAUCUGGCACACAAUCAAAGGAUUCGCUGCUCAAAAGUAAUUACUGAACAAGUUGGAAAUGUCUACAUCACUUCUCUUCUGUCUCACAUUUCUGUCAGGUACAAAUACACUAUUGCUUCAACAUCAAACAAACAGUUUAGCAUUUUCUUGCUUAAAUGUCCAUUGAUAUUUUUUGCAGAAAUCAGUUUGUGUGCUCAUAUUGCACCAAAGACAAAAACUGUCUUUUGUAGAGAGGGGGAAUCUACAAAUCUCACAUGCUUGUAUGAAUCAAGCAGCCCUCAUGCUUUGCUCUUAUGAGGUAGACUGAUCCCAAGACAGGCACCUGACUUUUUAUUGCUCAAGGAUGCAUGAUCAGAGACCCGCUUUCAACGCGUAGAUCCUCGCUAUGAUUCUGCAACUUCAAAGACAUCCACUUUUCUCAUCAUUAACCAUCUAAAGCUGCAUCCUAAAACUGUGUCCUUAAAAUGUCGUUUCAUUAUUAUUUUCAUUAUGGAUUUGCAGCUUUAUGAACUGCAGCUUUAAGGGGAGGAGUUCAUCUGAGACCUUCUCCUUUACUUGA
Non-coding RNA from Megalobrama amblycephala (Wuchang bream), 1677 nucleotides. NCBI's taxonomy places the organism in Eukaryota, Metazoa, Chordata, Actinopteri, Cypriniformes, Xenocyprididae. The record is from the annotation of a RefSeq genome assembly.